GAGGAGGAGGGGGAGGAGGGAGGCCGCCCGCCGCCCCCGCCCUCCCUGCGCGCUCCUCGGCGGCGGCCCCAUGUCCCCGGGCCCGAAGCCCCGCGGCGGGCGGCCCCCCCCGCGCGUAGCCGAGGUGGGGCGCCUCGUGUCCCCGCCCCGCGCCGCCGCGCUCCCCCGCGCCCGCCGAGGACAUGGUACGUUCCAGUGGCCCCGCGCUCAGCCCCGCCGGGGGGGCUUCGGCGGCGGCGGGGAGGACGCGGCGGCGGCGGCGGUGGCGGACGAGGGUCCGGGGCUGGGGCUGGCGAGCCGGGGCCGAGGGCGCAGCAGCGAGCCGAGAGCCACCCCCCCGCCGCCCCGGGCCACGGCCACGGCCGGCAGCAGCAGCGGCGGCGGCGGCCUCGCCCCUCGCUGGCACCCGGCGGGCCCCCCGCGGGCUGGCAUGACUCUGUUCGGCAGCGAAGAAGCGUGUCGGAGAUAUUUAGACAUGGCCAGAGACCCCAAAGGGAGCCGGGCCCGGCCUGGCCAGAAGCGACAGCACAGCGCUACCCUCUACCACAGUAACUGUGACCUGAACUAUGAGCUGUAUCGGGAAGACUUCCCCUACAGGGUAUAUGAGUAUCAGAGGAUCCCCCCACUUAUCAACCGAGCACCUGUCAAGAGCAGACGGACCCACAUGGGUGCAGGAGGCAAGAGCGGCCUCAGUCCCCACAUCCCUCCACGAAGCAACAACCCACCCCCCAUCCGGACAAAGUUAAGAGCUGAGGAGCUGCACUCGAUCAAGGGGGAGCUGAGCCAGAUCAAGGUCCAGGUGGACAGUCUGCUCGAGAGCCUGGAGCGUAUGGACCAGCGGCGAGACAGACUGGGAGGGCCCCAAGAAGGUGAGAAGAAGGCAACCUCAGCCAGUGGGGAGUCCUCCGGUGCAGCGGCUGAGGCCCAGCGAGAGCCCCGGGGCAAAGAGAGCCCGGAGCCCCGAGCCCGCAGCCGCAGGGAUGCCGACAGUGCGGAGGAGAGCACAGACACGGAGGAGGCGGGGAGGAUGAAAAAUCACACCUCGGACCCUGAUGGGAGUCAGUAGAAGCUCUGGGGCCCCUGCUGUGGCCUCCCCAGCUCGGAUCCUUUCCUUUUCCUGUGUUUGUAUUUCUUUGAGGCCCCCCAGCCAGUGCCACGUGUCUCCUGCCCUCCAGUCUCCCUACUGUUACAGUAGAGCCUCGUCUGCUCCUGCCCACGGGAGCCUGCGGGGUGUCCUGUGUCCUCUACAGAAGCCAGGCAGAAGUCCCUGAGGUGCAGGCCUGCAGUAUGGGUCUGGGGAGGCAGGAAAAUCCAGCACGUCUAGAAUUUCCUUUUGAAUACCAACCCUCCUUUCCUCUGUGUUGUUCCCCCCCAUCCCAUGAAAAAGGGGUUCCCUUGGUAGUAAGACUUGGCAGGACAGGGGCAUUUGGGGAAGAGUCUGGGCAGACCCCACAAUUCCAAAUUCUUCCUUCUCUUCCCUCACGAAGAUGCUUAGUGAUGAUUUUCAGUUCCCCACCCCUCUUGGGUACCCUCAUCAUCUCUCCUUGGGGUAGAACUGGUGCCAUCCUGCCCCUUGAUCUCUCUGACAUAGCUUGUAACAGUAUCGGCCCCAGCAGAACGUGGUUCAUCUAAGACACCACCCAGGUUCUGGUCCCCACCUGAGCCCCCAGUGUUCCUUCUGGGGCUCCCUCAGCCGGCCUUCCUCCCAGCAGCGUGAGGAGAGGGGAUUGGUGUCCCUGAGAAGGCCAGCCAAGCCAAAUGUUGGACAGCUCCCGUGGCUCACCAAGGUUUCCCCUUUUCCCGGGAUCACGUGGCUUCAAUGGUUUGCACUACUAGCCUUCGUGUGGCCCCUUUCUCUCCUCCCGGUCCCCACAGAAUUCCGUACCCGCAGUGGUGCAUGGGAAAUGAGUUCUGUUUCUGACAGGUGCAUUUCUGCUCCGCAGAAGAUACAGCCAGGUCCUUGGUUGACGUUGCCCUGAUUCACCCUGUUAUUUCCCUGCCUUCCCUCCCUUUCCCUCCAUGCUGUCCUUUCAGAACAGGUGUAGUUCAUUCUCACGUCCAGUUUC
Long non-coding RNA from Phascolarctos cinereus (koala), 2066 nucleotides. The record is from Ensembl. Lineage: Eukaryota; Metazoa; Chordata; Mammalia; Diprotodontia; Phascolarctidae.